Molecule: ribosomal RNA, 253 nt
Filed under: uncultured bacterium
Lineage: Bacteria
Description: partial 16S ribosomal RNA
Rfam family: Bacterial small subunit ribosomal RNA
Source: RNAcentral
AACGUAGGAGACAAACGUUAUCCGGAGUUACUGGGCGUAAAGGGCGUGCAGGUGGUCUGUUAAGUCUGGCGUGAAAGCUCCUGGCUAAACCGGGAGAGGUCGUUGGAUACUGGCGGACUAGAGGACGGUAGAGGCGUGUGGAAUUCCGGGUGUAGUGGUGAAAUGCGUAGAGAUCCGGAGGAACACCAGUGGCGAAGGCGGCUCACUGGACAGUUACUGACACUCAACAACGAAAGCGUGGGGAGCAAACAGG